RNAcentral lists this long non-coding RNA (2007 nucleotides) under Macaca fascicularis (crab-eating macaque). Its description in RNAcentral is "lncRNA (ENSMFAG00000050601.1)". The record is from RNAcentral. Lineage: Eukaryota; Metazoa; Chordata; Mammalia; Primates; Cercopithecidae.
AAGGUAAGGAACCCUCACUGUGCAGCUGUAUUGUGCUGAAUGCUGGACAUACAGAUGUAAAUGAUAUGAAGUCUUUACACAGAUGGAACUCAUGGUCUAAUAUCCAUAUGUGCUGUAUGAAUUUAGAUUGUAAGCCCCUUUGCCUUUUGCGGGGGCAUGGUUAAAACACUUUAUUUAGGGUCCUGCAUAUAAAACAAUAUACUUAGUGCUCUUUGGUGCCAACUUUGCCAAAAUAAUGGCUAUUCAUUCGAGGGCCAUUCUACUUCAUCAUGUGAAGCUCCACUGGUGUCUAGUUUUGUGGGACCAGAAGUUGACAAAAUUUAUAUUUCUUCCAGGAUAAAACUGGUCACUUGGAAAAGACUAGAUGAUUAUCCUAAGAUUUCUCAGUAGGAAGAAUUUUGUCCUUUCCUCUCAUUUGGUCUUUGCCUCUAUCUUCUGCCUCUAGCUUCUGUUUUGUUCAUCUGUUCCCAAGCUUUUGUGUAAGUACAGGUCCUCGGGCCUCAGUAUGAGAAGGUCUAGCCUCUCCUGUCUUCUCAGGACCACAGCUGAGAUGUCUUUUUAUCCAGACAGGAGAAAAAAGAGGUGGAAAGAAGAAAUGAAGUCCUGAUCUUACAUGGCUUGUCCCUGGCAUCUGACCCUUGUUUUGGAACACUCUCUUGACCUGCUCUUAUUCCUGUGUAUCUGCCCCAGUACUUGCUGUUGACUAUCCUAUCUUGAGGACAUUUCCCCUAAAGGUCUUUUUCAUCCAUCUUUUUUUUCCUGAAUUUUAGUAACAGCUUUAUUGAGAUACAAUUCACAUACCACACAACUCACAUCUGUAAAGUGCACAAUUAGGUGGUUUUUAGUGUAUAUUCAGAGUUAUGCAACCUUUACCACUCAUUCCAGAACAUUUUCAUUACCCUUAAAAGAAGCCCCAUACUCCUUAGCCAUCACCCCCAAACCAGUCCUAAACAACCCACUAAUCUACUUUCUGUCUCUCCGAAUAUGCCUAUUCUGAAUGUUUCAUAAAAAUAAGGUUAUACAGUGUAUGUCUUUUGCGUCUGACUUCUUUCGCUUAGCAUAAUGUUUCAAAGUUUAUCCAUACUGUAGCAUGUGCCAGUACUUCAUUUCUUCUUAAGGUUGAAUAAUACUCCAUUGUAUGGAUAUGCCAGCAUUUGUUUAUGCAUUCAUCCAUUGAUGGACAUGUGAGUUGUUUCCACCUUUUGGCAAUUGUAAAUAGUGCUGCUAGGAGCACUUUUGUACAAAUUUUUGUGUGCAUGUGUGUUUUCAUUUCUCUUGAGUAUAUAUAUAUUAGGGAGCAGAAUUGCUGGGUCAAAUCGUAACUCUACGUUUAACCUUCAGAAGAACUGCCAGACUGUCUUCCAAAGUGCCUCUGUCCACCUUUUUAAAUGUUGCUGUUUCUCUUUUCUUUUUAACUACCAUUGAUAUUUUCCAAAUUUCCACUUCCAGCUCAGAUUCCCCUCUGAGCUGCCUAUGAAUAUCUCCACCUGGGCGUCCCACAGACUCUUCAACCUAACAGUGCAAAAUGGAAUGUAUCAUAUCCUCCCUACCCCAUACUCUCUUCCCUCCUUCUCCCUUGUUGUCUAUCCCAGCAUAUGUUACAGUAGUCUAGCCAGUUGCCCAAAUGCCAGACAGAUACUAGAUUCUUGCCCCUUCCUCAUUCUCCACAUCCAAUUCAUUACUAAAUUCUAAAAGUUCCAUCUUCUCAAUAAUUCUCCAGGGUGGGGGACGGUGGCUCACGCCUGUAAUCCCAGCACUUUGGGAGACUGAGGAGGGCAGAUCACCUGAGGUCGGAAGUUCGAGACCAGCCUGAUCAACAUGGAGAAACCCCAUCUCUACUAAAAAUACAAAAUUAGCCAGACAUGGUGGCGCAAGCCUGUAAUCCUAGCUACUUGGGAGGCUGAGGCAGGAGAAUCGCUUGAACCCAGGAGGCAGAGGUUGUGGUGAGCCGAGAUCACGCCAUUGCACUGCAGCUUGGGCAACCAGAGCGAAACUCCAUCUCAAAAA